This 274-nucleotide ribosomal RNA is filed under the name uncultured bacterium. RNAcentral describes it as "partial 16S ribosomal RNA". It matches the Rfam family "Bacterial small subunit ribosomal RNA", at positions 523 to 796 of the family's 1533-position model. The record is from RNAcentral.
AUACGGAGGCUGCGAGCGUUAAUCGGAAUUACUGGGCGUAAAGCGUACGUAGGCGGUUGGUUAAGUUAGAUGUGAAAGCCCCGGGCUUAACCUGGGAACUGCAUUUAAAACUGGCGAACUAGAGUUGAGUAGAGGGGAGUGGAAUUUCAGGUGUAGCGGUGAAAUGCGUAGAGAUCUGAAGGAACACCAGUGGCGAAGGCGACUCCCUGGACUCGAACUGACGCUGAGGUACGAAAGCGUGGGUAGCAAACGGGAUUAGAAACCCUAGUAGUCC